ACUGGAAGCAUUGGACCGCAACCCGCCCAUAGUCGAGCCCUGUCCUCACUAACCCUUCCAGAAGCUACCAACUCUAUCAGAAAGAAGAGAAAUCACUGACCCAUUAUCUCCUGCAAUCUCUGUGAAGUUUUAAGGGGGGAAAGAUGAGUAGCCGAUCGAGUCGCACUAUCUACGUCGGCAAUCUGCCUGGGGAUAUUCGUAUGAGAGAAAUUGAAGAUUUGUUCAUGAAGUACGGGCCCAUCGUCGACAUUGAUCUCAAAGUCCCGCCGAGACCACCAGGUUAUGCUUUUAUUGAGUUGCAGUUUGAAGAUGCUCGAGAUGCUGAUGAUGCAAUUUAUGGCCGGGAUGGGUACAACUUUGAUGGGUAUCGUUUACGGGUUGAACUAGCGCAUGGUGGACGAGGACACUCAUCGUCAAUGGAUCGAUACAGCAGCUACAGUCAUAGUAGCAGUAGCCGUGGAGCUUCCCGGCGCUCUGACUAUCGUGUACUGGUCACUGGAUUGCCUCCUUCUGCUUCAUGGCAGGAUCUGAAAGACCACAUGCGUCGAGCUGGAGAUGUCUGUUUCUCCCAAGUGUUCCGUGAUCGGGGUGGCAUGACGGGAAUUGUAGACUACACAAACUAUGACGAUAUGAGAUAUGCUGUCCGGAAACUUGAUGACUCUGAAUUCAAAAAUGCUUUUUCUCGGGCUUACAUACGGGUGAAGGAAUAUGAUUCUAGACGUAGCUAUUCCAGAAGCCCUAGUUAUGACAUGAGACGGAGCUACUCUAGAAGCCCCAGUCGUAGUCCAUAUAUGUCGAGAAGUCAAAGCCGCAGUCACAGCUAUAGCUAUGGUGGCCGAAUCAGAAGCAUAUCACCAGAGGCAAAAUAUUUGCACCGCUCUCCAUCAGUAUCUUAUCCAAGGUCUGUCUCACGUUCCCGCGCAAGGUUGCCUUCUUUCUUGCUAGAUCUGGCUUUUGCGGAGAUCUGGGGACUGGAUGUUAGGAACUUGAUGGGAUGUGGUGCUCAUGCCUGCAACUCUUAGUUGAGCUACCAAAAACCACAAAUCAGCGGUGCGGACACAUAAAGCUCAAAACUACCACAUUCACUAACUUGCGAUAAGGAUGAGUGGAUUUUCUCCUCCUUUCAUCUAGGAUUAGAUGUUCGAUGCUGGUAUUUUAAUUUCUUACUACAUUGGUUGUUUUAUAUUUCUAAGAUCUGCUGGAAAGAUCAUGGGAUGCUGGGUGUAGAGCAUCUGGGCUAAAGGUUUAUAAUUUUUACUGUUUUCUUCCCGUCUAAUUAUGAUCUCGGACAAGAUCUAGGUCUCCAGUUUCUUCUGCUCGUCCCAGGACUCUGAGCAGAUCCAAGUCAAGAUCCAGAAGCUUAUCCCAGUCGCUUUCACCUUCUGCAAGGU
RNA transcript from Prunus dulcis (almond), 1391 nucleotides. It is a transcript of the gene named serine/arginine-rich splicing factor SR30, with no coding region annotated. The record is from RefSeq and is a predicted model, not a curated record. Lineage: Eukaryota; Viridiplantae; Streptophyta; Magnoliopsida; Rosales; Rosaceae. The transcript is spliced from 15 exons.